This 1239-nucleotide long non-coding RNA is filed under the name Cyanistes caeruleus (blue tit). RNAcentral describes it as "lncRNA (ENSCCEG00000013251.1)". The record is from RNAcentral. Lineage: Eukaryota; Metazoa; Chordata; Aves; Passeriformes; Paridae.
GGGAACUGCUGAGAAUUUGGCCCCAGACAAUUUCUCCUCCAAAUUCCGUACACUUUUGUUCCUAUUAGUCUGGCUUUAGGAGUGACUCCAUCCUAAAAAUGCCCAGGAAUGAGCUCAUUUUGUGCCUACCUCACUGAAAAGCCUCUCAUGUGGAUGGAGGAGCCCAGUGGGAAUGGGAUCCCUUUCGAGGUGUGGAUAUGAGGGAAGAUGGAGCCAAGGCACAAUUUUGGGAAGCUGAGGUCCAGAUCAAGUCACUGGGAUCUUCCUGCCAAGGACCAGGGUCUGAAGGCUGGGACUGUGCUGCCCUACUUUGUGAUCCUUGUUCCCUGGUGGUUUUCAUCCCAGACAGGACUGGUGUGUAUCUUGUGGGGAAACUCCAUCCUUGGGAGAUCAGAAGCUUUUGAUCUGUAGAUGGGAACUGUGAAAUGUCUGAUCAAAGGAGAAAGGACCUGAGAUACUCCAGAUAAAGCCAUGUCCAUGAGAUGAGCUUCAGCCCAAGUGUGUUUCCAGCUCCAGAAUAUAUUUACCUCUCUAUUUUUAUCCCUAGGGUGAAUUUGGCCAGUUUCUAAGUGACAAAAGGCUACUUCAGCAUCAUUUCUGGUUUCUUUUGCAUGUCUGCUGUUCUGCUGACACAUAAAACUCCUCCCUCUUCUUGGGGAGAAGCAUCCUAGAUUUGAGUCCCCAGAACUACUGCAUUCCCACUGUGUUUUGUGUACAAUACAGAGGGGAAAAGCUCCAACAGGAGAAUUGUGGAAAGGAGUCACAACCAGCCCUGUGCUUGGAUGUAAGGACUUUUGCCUAGAUUGCAGGUUCUGAGUCUUUACUGAUACCUUAAGCAUCUUAAACUGGCACACUCAUACUGAGGAAGAAGAAUUUGGUGUUUGGGUUGAGCAAAACUUUGAAUUCUUCACCAAUAUUAACAAAUCUUCCAUCAAAAUAAGUAUACUUCCCUGAGAGGGUUUGGUUUCAGUCAGACAGCAGUUUUUGGCAUAGUAAUUUUAUUUCCCUUCCUCAAAAAAUCCAGAUAAGUUUCCUAAUUACAUGCCCAACAAAAGAUUGCAAAAGAUGUUUUAAACCCAGUUGUAGCAGUUGUGGUGUGAAUCUUCCAAAGAUCAUCUGUUCAUCCAGGUAUCAGGAUGCAUAACCCAGGAUAUUGCAUAAGUAUGUAGGCUAUUGAUGACAAAGAGAGCACAAGAUGGUGCCUAAAAUAAACAGAAAAAUAUAGAAAAUUAUCUGUCA